This 274-nucleotide ribosomal RNA is filed under the name uncultured bacterium. RNAcentral describes it as "partial 16S ribosomal RNA". It matches the Rfam family "Bacterial small subunit ribosomal RNA", at positions 523 to 796 of the family's 1533-position model. The record is from RNAcentral.
AUACGGAGGGUGCAAGCGUUAAUCGGAAUUACUGGGCGUAAAGCGUACGUAGGCGGUUAGUUAAGUCAGAUGUGAAAGCCCCGGGCUUAACCUGGGAACUGCAUUUAAAACUGGCUAACUAGAGUUAAGUAGAGGGGAGUGGAAUUUCAGGUGUAGCGGUGAAAUGCGUAGAGAUCUGAAGGAACACCAGUGGCGAAGGCGACUCCCUGGACUUGAACUGACGCUGAGGUACGAAAGCGUGGGUAGCAAACGGGAUUAGAAACCCCAGUAGUCC